ACGGGGGUGGCGAGCGUUACUCGGAUUUAUUGGGUGUAAAGGGCAGGUAGGCGUUCCGUUAAGUUAGAGGUGAAAUCCUAAGGCUCAACCUUAGAACUGCCUCUAAUACUGGCGGAAUUGAGGCUGUAAGAAGAAAGCGGAAUUCCCGGUGAGAGGGUGUAAUGUAGAGUUAUGGGGAUGAACUGCAGCAGCUGGAGCAGCAUUCUAGUUCAGAUCUCACGGUAGUCCGCCAAACCUCGGGAAGAGAUGUG
This 251-nucleotide ribosomal RNA is filed under the name uncultured prokaryote. RNAcentral's name for it is "partial 16S rRNA". It matches the Rfam family "Bacterial small subunit ribosomal RNA", at positions 525 to 775 of the family's 1533-position model. The record is from RNAcentral.